This is a small nuclear RNA of Gorilla gorilla gorilla (western lowland gorilla), 107 nucleotides long. Lineage: Eukaryota; Metazoa; Chordata; Mammalia; Primates; Hominidae. The record is from Ensembl.
GUACUUACUUUGACAGCAUGAAUACUAAAAUUGGGACAAUUCAAAACAGAUUAGCAUGGCCCCUGUUCAAGAAUGACGCACAAAUUUGUGAAGCAUUCCACAUUUUC